Molecule: ribosomal RNA, 253 nt
Filed under: uncultured bacterium
Lineage: Bacteria
Description: partial 16S ribosomal RNA
Rfam family: Bacterial small subunit ribosomal RNA
Source: RNAcentral
GACGUAGGGCGCGAGCGUUGUCCGGAUUUAUUGGGCGUAAAGAGCUCGUAGGCGGCUUGUUGCGUCGGCUGUGAAAACCCAUGGCUCAACCGUGGGCGUGCAGCCGAUACGGGCAGGCUGGAGUUCGGUAGGGGAGACUGGAAUUCCUGGUGUAGCGGUGAAAUGCGUAGAUAUCGUAAGGAAGACCAGUGGCGAAGGCGGGUCUCUGGACAGUUCCUGACGCUGAGGCACGAAGGUCAGGGGAGCAAACAGG